AUACAGAGGGUGCGAGCGUUAAUCGGAAUUACUGGGCGUAAAGCGCGCGUAGGCGGUUUGGUCAGUCGGAUGUGAAAGCCCCGGGCUUAACCUGGGAAUUGCAUUCGAUACUGCCAGACUGGAAUGUAGUAGAGGGAAGUGGAAUUCAGGGUGUAGCGGUGAAAUGCGUAGAGAUCCUGAGGAACAUCAGUGGCGAAGGCGACUUCCUGGACUAACAUUGACGCUGAGGUGCGAAAGCGUGGGGAGCAAACAGGAUUAGAAACCCCGGUAGUCC
RNAcentral lists this ribosomal RNA (274 nucleotides) under uncultured bacterium. RNAcentral describes it as "partial 16S ribosomal RNA". It matches the Rfam family "Bacterial small subunit ribosomal RNA", at positions 523 to 796 of the family's 1533-position model. The record is from RNAcentral.